RNAcentral lists this long non-coding RNA (21047 nucleotides) under Lactuca sativa (garden lettuce). Its description in RNAcentral is "long non-coding RNA (LSAT_LNC004623)". The record is from RNAcentral. Lineage: Eukaryota; Viridiplantae; Streptophyta; Magnoliopsida; Asterales; Asteraceae.
ACAUACUAUGGGUCCAGUCAACCAUCGGGUUGGAAUACCCCAGGCCCUCAACCAACAGGUUGGAUUGCCAAUAUACUAUGGGUCCAAUCACCAUCAGGAUGGAAUACCUCAGGCCCACAACCAACAGGUUGGAAUGCCCACAUACUAUGAGUCCAAUCAUCCUCGGGAUUGAAUACUCACGGCCCACAACCAAUAGGUAUGAAUGCUCAGGUCUAUUGGCCUCCGCACAAAGUAGAUAAGCCUCAACCGCCAAACAAACAUGUGCACAUAUAACAGAUAAUCAAAUAAUAGUCUAUAGAUAACAAUUGAUCUAAUGGAUCAUACCACAUAGCACAUAAUACCAUCCUAUCUACUAGGAUACCGAUCUAACAGAUCAUACCACAUACAACAUAAUAUUAUCCUACCCUCUAGGAUACCGAUCUAACAUAUCAUACCGCAUACCACAUAAUAUUAUCCUACCCUUGUUAGGGGUGUCAAACCCAACAAAUAAAGGGGUACAAUAGACUCCAAAUACACUGCUUUAAUGCACUAAAAAGUAGUACAAUGCAAGCAGGGUCGAACCACAGAGACACGGGACAAAAGUCUAUACCUCUUUGCACAAGGUACUUUGGUCACAAAGGGGGGUUUGUUUGCAAAAGUAAAUAACUAAAUAACAAUCUACUUAAAAAGCAUGCACAAAAUGAAAUAGAUUUGUAAACAAAUUGUAAAAGUGCUUCUUAUUCUAGUUCUCAAUGUUGUUGUUCAACUUGAUUAUGACUUGAUGUAAUUCAUGAUUGCUAUUCUAAGUUGGUACUGAAAGAUAUUAACACGCUCUAAUACCUCUCGCUUCCCAAAUUAUCUAACCAAAACACGCUCUUUGACUAGACAUAGCUUUACUAAUUCAACCUAAACACGGUCUUAGAUUGCAUUGAAAAACUGCAUUAAGUAUUGUACAAGCUUCCCAACAAUGUUCAUUUCUUCUCAUACGCUCGGAAGUGUGAAAACAUGUGAUAUAUGUUUUACAAUAAGAAAACUUAUUGCUUGUUAUCAAUUAUUAACUCAAUAGAACGAUUAGGUGCCCUAAAAGUUAUUUAACUGCACAAAAAUUCAAUUCAUGAAAGUGGCCAAUCAAACACAAAUCAAAUUCAAGGAUUCUAGUUUAAACAAAAACAUAAUCACUAGAAUGGAAUCACAAAUCAAACAUCAAAUCAUAUGCUUCAAGUCAAGCAAUCAACAUGUUUUGAACAAGAACUAGAAACUAGGGUUUCUUAGCCACACAUGGCUAAGAACAAAUCAAACAAGAAUAAAUAUGGAAUUGGAAUGUUUAAUCCUUACAAAAAUGAAAUCAAAGUGUUUGCAAUGAUUAGGUCUUCUCAAAAGCUCUAAGAAUUCUCCCUAAAAUCACCCAAGAUCGCCCAAACUACUCCCAAAACCGUUCUCCCUUCAAAUGACGUUCUUCUGCUCUUUUAAUUAAAGUUCACGUGACUUGCCAUAAGGUCAUGCGUUUUUGGCAUGGCCAUGCCUUUUGCCCAUGUGUUUUUGGCAUGGCCAUUUGUCUUGACCAUGUGUUUUUGGCAUGGCCCAUGCUUUUUGCUAAAAUUCCAAAAAGUCUUCACUGUUGGCUCCAUCUUCAUGUUUUCUGCCAUGGAAUGACCGGUUCAUCUUCUCUUCAUGUUCCAAAGCUCUAUGCUCCAAGCAUCCAAGCAUCCAUGCAUCCAAGCUCCACGUUCCAUGCUCCAUAAUGCCUGCAAAAUAAAUCAAAAAUAGUGAAGUACCAGGCAUUCUUAAUGAAAUAUGUAAUUGCCCUAAUAAUCAACUAAAUGCAAGAAUUAUGAAGUAGAAUGCUAUAAAAAGACGGAAAUAAACAUGCAAAAUAGGUGCAUAAAAUGCACCUAUCAAACCUCCCCAAGCUUAGACCUUUCUUGUCCUCAAGAAAGAGAAAAUUGAGAAUCUACCUAGAAAAGACGAUAGGUGACUAAAAAGAAACUAAGAUGAAAAGAAUGGAAGGAACGAAAAGGACUAAAUGGAAUUAAGAGUGCAUGCAUGCAAUAAAAGAAGAACUAAUGAAAAUAACAUAUGUACAAAAAGGUAUUUUUUUUCCAAACAUUAAUGCAAUGAACAAAACAAACGAACAUAUUCAAUCCAAUUAACCUCAUUAUGUCAUACAGUCGAAGGUGUAACUGUCGGGCCUUGAGAUAACUUGACAUUAACCCCACAAAGAUAUAUAACAAGUAAAACAAGGUUUUUAGCCAUUCCCUAACGCAACUCAACAAAAUCAAAAGUUACAACACUUGUUCACUUUUACAGGUAUUGGGUUAGCACAUGGAACAAAUUAUGGUCUUACUCUCGUGAAAACAUGUGAUGCAAAAUAUGCUCAUUUUCAUUUUUCAAAUCAUGACAAUGACCGACUCCAGCUAUUUGUUGACUAACAACAAUCUUUUUCUAAAAAAUAUUUUCUAAAAAUUCCCUAAUAUUUACCCAGAUUGGUUACAUGUUUCAAACCACAUAUACCAGUCAAAGUAGUUUACAGUCAGUCCCAAUGUUUACAACCAAACAUUUUUUCAAACACAUUACUCAAUUAAACUAUAAACAUAAAUAUAUACAAACUAUCUAAUUAUAUUUUUCUAUAAAUGAAGCUCAUGGCUUUCUUUGAAAUCCGUGUAACGGGCUUCCAACCAACACAUCCAAAUCAGAUGACCUUAGUGUGCUAGAUUUAAAGAGAUCCCUCGGGCUUACUUGCCCGAACCUCAAAGGCCACAUAUUAGCUUUAUUUGUUAUUAUUAAGUUCAUGACUUUCUAUGGAACCCGUGUAACGAAUUUUCAACUCAAUCAGUCCCAAACUANUAGGCAAUUAGGUGUAGAACACCCCUCGGGGUUUACUUGUUCGAAUCCCAAAGGUCACAGAUUAACUUAAUAAUAUUUUUUCUUUUUUUUUUUUCUUUUUUUUCUUUUUUUUUUUUAAUUUAAUUUAAUUUAAUUUAAUUUUUAUUUUUAUUUUUUAUUUUUUUUAUCUUGUUUGCUAGGUUUAUUUCCUUAUAUUUUAAUCUCGACUCUUUUAGGGGGACUGAUGUAAACACGCAAAGACCCGUAAAUAUAGUCGGAAACAAUGUCCCCAAGCAGGGUAUUUAGAAGAGAAUAGGUAGAAAAGACUUUUUAGAGCGCUGGAGAAUUCGAGUCACUGAAAUUUUAUAUUCAUUUUAUGGCUCUUUUGAAUUUGGAAUUUGGAUAUGAAUGAGCAAUGACUCAUACGACCGAUCGUGUGUUCUAAGGGCUAAACUAUAUCUGUCGUUAUGCUUCGAUGUUGAUAACCUUAUCAUUUUUUGUUUUGCACGAGUAGCUUCGGGAGACGUGUUCAUGUGAGAUUAGGUUGCUUCAAGCUUUUAACUAAAAAACGAACAAGUUCUAAUCUCAAGCCACGACUAAUUUACCACUUCAACUUAUUUAAGAAGAUUAGGUUCCUUUAGAUUGAUUUUUUUUUGUAUGCUUUGAAAUGAAUGCAUGGAAAAAAUGAAAAUAAGAUUUUACUUUUUUUUUGAUAAAAUGCAUGUGGGGACUAACUAGAACCUAAUAUACAAAGACCCCUCCCCAAGCUUAAGAGUUAGCAUCGUCCUCGAUGCUCGUAGAGGGUAGGGAAAUCUACUAGCUGCGAGGGGCCCAACACUACAUGAAUUGCAUGGCUUGUUGUACCGUUUGUGUCAAUUGUUGAACGUCAGCGCGAAUGUCAGCAACAACUUGAUCAAGGUGAUCAAAACGCCUCAUGUAUAUGUCGUGGUACUGAGUCGCCCGCCGAGUGUAGAAAUAACGUGCAGUCUCUACUGGGGCAGCAGAAGUGGACCCCCUUGCAGUGGGAGCAAUGGAGUGAGCAGGAGGAAUAGGGAUGUCGUCUUCGUGGUCGACGAUUGGCCGCUCAGGAGCUCUCGAGAUGGGCGCGGGAGCGCGUGGGAUGGAAUUUGCAGAAGUGGUCUUUGGUAGACACCACUAAGUCUGAGUGAUGUCCUACUGGAGUUGGAGAGUGCUGAAAUCCCCAGUAGGAACUCGGAGGUAUGGCUCACCUUGCACCAGCCAUGUGAUACUACCAUCACCUUCUCUAUGGAAGAAUGAUGAGGCUAUAAGGACAUUGGAUGUGAUGGUAUUAGUUCCUUGUGUGAUUUUCUUGAGGUUCGGGCGCUUGCUCUCAAAAAGCUCGGCACAAGCAAGGCGGGUGGCAAGAUAGGAGAUAAUCCCGCCACAAUGAAUAGGGCCAGAAUCGCUGGUAGAGAUGUUAAGAAGUUUGGAAGCAAGGAAGGCGCCAAAAUGAGGUCUCUUCAAGCCGGUGGCCAUGCACCAAAGAAUUUCUAACUCCAUCUUACCGGCUCUGCUAACGUCUUCUUGGGGGAAGACAAGGUUAGCAAUAACUCGGAGAGCCACUCUUAAGAUUGGAUGGAUGAUAUGAGAUGCUUUGGCGGAUCGAGCCUCAUACACAUCAAGUCCCGUGAUUUCCUUCCAAAAGGCUUUGACCUGGGCUUUAAAAAGAUUAUUUUUCUCUCGCAUGUAGCCUAAUUUAGGACCAUAUGUAUUGAAUUUAGAAAUCCCAACAAACCCACUAAGAUCGUCUAGACUCGGUUUAAAUUGCAAACGCAUGAGACGGAAUGAGAGACAUUUGGCAUUGUCAUUGAAUUCCAAAGAUUGUAAGAAUUCAAUGGUUGUGUUUUUAUACGAUUCCAUUGGUGCCAAAUUGAGAAGUAUCUCCUAACUGAUGUUGCUAAACAAUCUAUGGACAUCAUCAUAAACUCCUAGUUCUUGGAGAGUGGGAACAUCUACAAACCGUUGUUGAGAAUAUCCGCGGUCCUUGAGGUGAAGGAAUCGCUCACGGUGCUCAAGAGAGUUAUGAAUAAUGGUGGUGACACCAUAUUUGGAUUCCAAUUGUUCUUUUGGUUGUGGGUUUUUUCGUUUUGGCAUGAUGACAAACCAGAUUUAUGACAAACGGGUGGUGCCCAAAAAUGAUAACACAACUAGACAAGCACGAAUGAACAAUUGUAUGAAGCACGAGAAUGGAUUCACAACUAUUCCAACCAAACAAUUUUAAAUUCAAUGCGUAAAACUUGAGCUAUGGAAGGAAUGUACCAUUUAAACGCUUGGAUUUGAGGUGUUGGCUUGUAUUAUUCACUUCAUCUUCAACCUCAAGAAGGCUUGAACUCUUCAAUGGUGGAAUGUCCAAUUGGAGAUGAAAGCUUCUAAUCUUCUUUCCAAAAGUACCUCCCCAAGCUUGGUCUUGAACCCUAUACAAGAACUUUUGAAACCCAAUACAAGAAUUAAUUCAAACUAUAUAAAUUAAGAACUAGGGUUUAUGAAGAAAAAUUCAAUUUUUACCCAUUGAAUGAUGAAUUCGACCUAGAUGAUGAAUGAAGUGAAGUUAGGAAGCGAUAGUAACAUACCUUUGUGCCUCAAUCUUGGAUUAAUUGGAGAAAAAAAAAUCGAACCCUAGCCUAGGGUUGUGGGGAUCGGCCGAGAAUGGUGAGGAGAGGGAAGGAGGGAAAUCAAAUCACACGACCAUGAGAAGAAAUAAGGAAGAAAAGAAAUGAGGAACGCAUGGUUACAAAUCGAUCAAUCAAGGCUGCCGUGUGCAAGUAUACAAGUGCGAUUCGAAGGGUUGUUUAUCGGGGGCUUGGCUUGGACGCACGGGCCAUGUGUUUGUUUGAACUUGCGAUUUCUAAGUGCUUUCACAAAUGGAAACGCACGGUCUAGGCAGGCCGUGUGUUUUUCUCUUAGCCCAUGCGAUUUUCAAGUUAGCCCCGUGAAAAAAAAUUUAAUCUUUGCAAUCUUCGAUGGUAGCGCACGGGCUAAAACCUAGGCCGUGCGUUUUGGCCCUUUACCCAUGCGAUUUCGAACUAGCCCAUGGCAAAAUCUUUUUUUAAAACCUCGAAGUGGCCGCAUGGACAAAAAAUGAUGACCAUGCGUUUUAGCAUGAGCCCGUGUGUUUUUGGCUUACUCUGUGCGUUUUCUUUCUGUUAACAUGGAAUUCACGAUUUUUUUUUUCAAAACCAAAUUUUCUUUAACUAUUAGAUAGGAGAAUUAUUUGUAUGUAAACCUCGAAAAGACGCAAAAACAUUGCAACACGGAUGAAAUAAAUCAAAAUUAACAAAAUAGAAAGAAUUACUCCCGAGUUGCCUCUCGGUUAGCCGCCCUUGUUUCAAGUCUUUGGCUCGACUUAGUCCUUUAGAUUCACUCAAUGUAGUCUGGGCGUUCCAAGCUGUCAAUCUCCAUGUCUUUCUCCUGGAAGCCUUCAUAGAAGACCUUUAACCUGUGACCAUUAACUUUAAAUACUUUUCCAGUUUUGUUACUCUUAAUCUCAACUGCACCAUGAUCAAAUAUAUUAGUAACAAUGAACGGUCCCACCCACCGGGACCGUGACUUACCAGAAAACCAUUUAAGUCGAGAGUCAUAGAGUAAUACCUUUUGACCAAUCUCAAAAGGUCUUACGGGAGAGGUACUUAUCAUGGAAUGCUUUGGUCUUGUCUUUGUAGAUACGUGAACUCUCGAAUGCUUCAUUUCUUAUCUCCUCCAACUCUUGGAUCUCUAACUUUCGAUGAAAACCCGCUUCAUCAAUCUUCAUGUUUAGCUUUUUGACAGCCCAUAAAGCUUUGUUUUCCAGUUCAACAGGGACGUGACAAGCUUUGCCAAACACAAGUCUAUAAGGUGACAUCCCAAUUGGAGUUUUAUAUGCAGUUCGGUAUGCCCAAAGAGCAUCUUCUAAUCUCAAACUCCAAUCUUUGAGGUUUGUGUUCACUGUUUUCUCAAGUAUGGACUUGAUUUCUCUGUUUGACACUUCAGCUUGUCCAUUUGUUUGCAGGUGAUAAGCUGUGGACACCCGAUGUUGGACUCCAUACUUCUUGAGAACCGAUCCAAGAGUUUUGUUGCAGAAGUGUAUGCCCUUGUCACUGAUCAAGGCUUUUGGAGUUCCAAACCUACAUAAAAUGUUAGCCUUGACAAAAUCUACAACAACUUUUGCAUCAUCAGUUCUUGUUGCCUUUGCCUCUACUCAUUUGGAAACAUAGUCAACAGCCAAAAGGAUGUAUAAAUUCCCAAAGGAUGAAGGGAAAGGACCCAUAAAAUCAAUACCCCAUAUAUCAAAUAUUUCACAAACCAAGAUGGGGGUUAAGGGAAUUUGGUUUCGGGAACUCAAAGAAUCGGUCAUUUGACAUCUCUCACAACUUUUACAAAAAGUGUAAGAGUCAUGAAAAAGUUGGGGCCAAUAAAAUCCACAGUCUAAAAUUUUCCUGGCAGUUCUUUGAGGACCAAAAUGCCCUCCACAAGCAUAACUAUGACAAAAGUUGAGAAUAGAUUUUACCUCAUGUUCUUCAACACAUCUUCUUAUUACCUGAUCUGCACAAUGUUUCCAAAGGUACGGUUCAUCCCAAAUGUACCUUCUCACAUCUUUCUUGAUCUUAUCUCUCUGUGACCUCGGAGGUCGGUUGGGAACUUUCCCGUCACCAUGAAGUUGCAUAUAUCUGCAUACCAAGGUGGUGUUUGGAUAGCAAACAAGUGCUCGUCCGGGAAUGUGUCAUGGAUGGGAGUCGCAUCUUCGGGUUGAACUAUUCGGAUCAAAUGAUCGGUGACUAGGUUCUCUUUCCAGCUCUUAUCUUUGAUCUCAAUAUCGAACUCUUGCAAAAACAACAUCCACCGUAUUAACCUCGGCUUCGAAUCUUUCUUGGUAAGUAAGUGCUUUAUGGCUGCAUGGUCUGAAUAUAUGAUCACUUUAGUUCCAAGGAGGUAUUGCCGGAACUUCUCUAGUGCAAAAACAAUAGCGAGCAACUCUUUUUCUGUUGUGGUGUAGUUGCAUUGUGCACUAUCAAGGGUCUUUGAUUCAUAGUAGAUGACAUGGUGUGCUCGAUCCACCUUUUGACCUAAUACUGCCCUACAGCCGUGUUUCUCGCGUCACACAUGAUCUCAAACGGGAGAUCCCAAUUAGGUGGUUGGAUGAUUGGAGCGAAGGUGAGUAAAUCCUUCAAAAGAUCGAAGGCAUCCUUGCAUGGCUGAGUGAACUCAAAUUCAGCAUCUUUUUGGAGUAGUUGACACAUCGGCACUGUAAUCUUUGAAAAAUCUUUAAUGAACCGCCGAUAGAAACCUGCAUGGCCAAGAAACGAACGAACUUCCCGAACAUUUGUCGGGUAAGGAAGACUUUUGAUAACAUCUAUCUUGGCUUUGUCAACUUCCAAGCCUUUUCGGGACACAAUAUGACCUAGAAUCAAUCCUUUGUCCACCAUGAAAUGGCAUUUUUCAUAGUUAAGCACAAGAUCUGUGUCAAUGCACCUUUGCAAAAUUUUUGUUAGAUUGCUCAAACAUUCAUCAAAGGAGUUUCCNAAUUUUUGUUGGAUUCCUCAAACAUUCAUCAAAGGAGUUUCCAUAGACUGUGAAGUCAUCCAUGAAAACUUCAAUGAUGUUUUCAACAUAUUCAGAAAAAAUGCUCACCAUGCAUCUCUGAAAUGUUGCAGGUGCAUUGCAUAGACCAAAAGGCAUACGCCUAUAGGCAAAUGUGCCAAAGGGACAAGUGAAGUUGGUUUUCUCUUGGUCUUCCGGGGCUACCGAAAUUUGAUAAAACCCGAGAAACCAUCCAAGCAACAAUAAUGAGAUUUACCCGCCAAUCUCUCUAACAUUUGGUCAAUAAAUGGCAAAGGAAAAUGUUCUUUUCUCGUUGAGGCAUUCAACUUUCUAUAGUCAAUACAAACCCUCCACCCGUUUUGCACACGGGUUGGCACCAAAUCUCCCUCAGAAUUCUUGACAACUAUGACCCCGGCUUUUUUCGGGACUACCUGAACAUGGCUCACCCAUUUACUAUAUGAGAUAGGGUAAAUCAUACGUGCAUCCAAAAGCUUCAUGAUUUCUUUCUUUACCACCUCCAUCAUGGGUGGAUUCAGUCUUCUCUGUGCCUCUCGAGUUGGUUUGAAGUCCUCCCCCAUGAGGAUCUUAUGCAUGCACAAGGAAGGGCUCAGCCCUUUUAUGUCAGCAAUUGUCCACCCAAUAGCUUUCUUAUACUUUUUCAGCAAAGUCACAAAUUCAUCUUCUUCUGCAAUGGACAGCUUGUUGGAGAUAAUGACAGACAAAGUCUUUUCUUCCCCAAGGUAUGCAUACUUCAAAUGAUCUGGAAGAGUCUUCAAUUCUAGCUUAGGUGCCUGCACAACGGAAGGAAGAAGUUUUGUGUUAGAAAUUGGCAAUUUCACAUUACUAUUAUCAUACCUCAUUUUCUUCUUUUCUUCCAUGCUCUCCACAAUUUCCAGCAACUCUUCAUCUAACUUGAAAUUUUCUGCAAUCUCUUUGACUGAAUUGUUAUCAAAAUUCCUGCUCAAAACUAACUCCAACAAAUCAUGGUUAGUCAACUAUAAACACUUUUCAAUCAAAUGUUGGAUUAUAUCAACAAAAUUUAUGCAAUGAACAUCACUUGGGUACCUCAUUGCUUUAUAGAUAUUGAAGUUGAUGACCUCCCUAUCGAAUUCCAUGGACAAUGUACCAUUGUAGACAUCAAUUUUUGUUCUUGCUGUUUUCAAGAAUGGUCUACCUAAAAUUAUGGAACUCGAGGAUGGAUGGUCAUCAUCUCCCAUAUCAAGCACAUAAAAAUCUGCAGGAAAGACAAGCUCAUUAACUUGCACAAAAACAUCCUCUAAUACACCUUUUGGGUGUACUAUAGAACGAUCUGCAAGUUGGAUGAUCACCCCUGUUUUUGUUAAAGUGCCUAUGCCAAUAGAUUUAUAAACAGAAUAUGGUAAAACAUUAAUUGAAGCUCCUAAAUCUAACAUAGCACGGGGGACAUACAAGUUUCCCAAUUUGCAAGGAACGGUGAAAACACCUGGAUCCUUGCACUUUGGGGGCAUCCUUUUCUACAAAACUGCAGAAACAUUUUCACUUACUUUCACUGUCUCAUUACCUCGUAGCUUCUUUUUAGAUGUGCAAAGUUCCUUAAGGAACUUAGCAUAUCUAGGUACCUGUUUGAUCGCAUCUAAGAGAGGAAUGUUGACUUCAACUUUCCGGAACAUUGCCAUGAUUUCACUAUCUUCUUUCUCUUUUUUGUUGCUGCUUAAUCUUGAUGGAAAAGGUGGUGGUGUGAUCUUUGCUUCUUUCUCUUCCGACUUCUUUUUCUCCACCAUUUCUUCUUUCUUUUCAUCCUUAUUUGGUGGUUCUUCUAUCACCAACUACUCUUCUUCUACUUCUUCGGGCAUCUUCGGGCCGUCAUAUUUCUUUCCGCUCCUUAAGCUAAUUGCACAAGCAUUGUGCUUUGGGUUCUUUUCUGUUUGAGGAGGUAGUUUUCCUUGAUUCUCCAUUUUGCUCACCGAUUGAGCAAGUUGUGCCAUUUGUUGCUCAAGAUUCUUGAUGCUUGCCUUGGUCUCUUGCUGAAAACUUUGGGUGCUGGUGGCAAGGCUUUUGACUAUGUCUUCUAAGGACAUACUUGAGGAUCCGACUUGUUGAGGAGGAGGUUGUUGUUGCCUCGGUUGGUAACUUUGUUGUCGGAACGGAGGCCUUGCUUGGUAAUGGGGUGGUGGUCAUUGUUGAUAGCCCAUGUUUUGGUUGUUGUUCCACCCUUGAUUGCCUCGGGGCAGAUCAUAAGUUCUUUGAUUAUGCCCGGAAUAGCCGCCUAUAACAUUUGCUUCUUCAUAUUCUUCUUCUUGCAAUUGAGGACACUAAUCAGUCGGGUGUCCCACUUGAGUGCAAAUGCCACAGGGACGAGGUGUGGAUUGCACACCUUUGUCCUUAGCAAGCAUCAUUACCACCUUAGUCAACUCGGAUAGUUGAGCUUCAAUUUGAGGAGUGUGCACCUCUUUUACACCUCGAGGUGCAUCUGUGUACCAAUCUUCAUCUUGACUAGUAUGCUUUGAAUCCUCUGCCAUGUUUUUUAUGAGAUCUCGAAUCUCCAUUGGGGUCUUGUCAGUCAAAGAUCCUCUACUUGAAGCAUUAAGAAGUCUUCUUUCCCAAGGAGUCAUGCCUUCAAUGAAGUAUUGAAGGAUUUGAUACUCACUAAUACCAUGCUUUGGGCAACGGGCACAAAGCUUUUUGAACCUCUCCCAAUAUGUAUGAAAGGCUUCUCUUUUGUGUUGUUUGAUCCCAAUUAUCUCUCUUCUUAGGGCUGAGGCUUUCAUUUCUGGGAAGUAUUUGUCUAAGAAGAGGCGUGCAAGAUCUACCCAUGUGUUGACCGUCCCCGGUGGAAGGUCAUAAAUCCAAUCUUUUGUUGAGUCUUGCACUGCGAAGGAGAAUGCCCUAAGCUUGAUUUGGUCUUCAGUGACAUUGUGUGGUUUCAUGCCAACACACACAACAUGGAACUACAUGAGGAACUUGUGGGGAUCUUCAUUUUCUAAACCUCUAAAGGUUGGGAGUAAGUGAAUGAGACUGGAUCUCAAUUCAAGGUUUGUGGCUGCCGGAUAGGUGAUGCAAAGAGGUUGUUGAGUAGCCUCUUGCCUCGCCCAUUGGCGAAGGGUUUGUUCGGGUGGUGGAUUUGGAGGCGGAUUCCCUCCAUGGUUGUCUCCCAUGGUAUGAGUAGUGGUUGAAGUUUCUGUGGGUGUAGUGUUUGGGUUGUGAUGAGUAGGUGAAGAGGGUGGGGUGGUAUUUCUGGAUGAGGAUGGUUGAGGUGAAGGUAAUGGACUUUCUGUUUCGGAUGCGGACACACUUGAGAGGGGAAUAUCCUCCCAAAUGUUAAUGACCGGGGGAUUGGAUGAUGAAGAAGUACCGGAAACCGGUUGCCUCUUACGAAGCUUGGCUUGCUUCCUUAACUUCUUUGCAGUCUUCUCUAUCUCCGAGUCAAUUGGCAGUGGUGUACCUGUACGAAAAGAUCUAGGCAUAAACAAUUAGUAACACCGUGUCCCCGGCAACGGCGCCAAUUUGUUAGGGGUGUCAAACCCAACAAAUAAUAGGGGUACAAUAGACUCCAAAUACACUGCUUUAAUGCACUAAAAAGUAGUACAAGGCAAGCAGGGUCGAACCACAGAGACACGGGACAAAAGUCUAUACCUUUUUGCACAAGGUACUUUGGUCACAAAGGGGGGUUUGUUUGCAAAAGUAAAUAACUAAAUAACAAUCUACUUUAAAAGCAUGCACAAAAUGAAAUAGAUUUGUAAACAAAUUGAUUGAAUGGUUCUAGUUCUAGUUCUCAAUGUUGUUGUUCAACUUGAUUAUGACUUGAUGUAAUUCAAGAUUGCUAUUCUAUGUUGGUACUGAAAGAUAUUAACACGCUCUAAUAACUCUCGCUUGCCAAAUUAUCUAACCAAAACACGCUCUUUGAUUAGACCUAGCUUUACUAAUUCAACCUAAACACGCUCUUAGAUUGUAUUGAAAAACCGCAUUAAGUUUUGUACAAGCUUCCCAACAAUGUUCAUUUCUUCUCAUACGCUCGGAAGUGUGAAAACAUGUGAUAUAUGUUUUACAAUAAGAAAACUUAUUGCUUGUUACCAAUUAUUAACUCAAUAGAACGAUUAGGUGCCCUAAAAGUUAAUUAACUGCACAAAAAUUCAAUUCAUGAAAGUGGCCAAUCAAACACAAAUCAAAUUCAAGGAUUCUAGUUUAAACAAAAACAUAAUCACUAGAAUAGAAUCACAAAUCAAACAUCAAAUCAUAUGCUUCAAGUCAAGCAAUCAACAUGUUUUGAACAAGAACUAGAAACUAGGGUUUCUUAGCCACACAUGGCUAAGAACAAAUCAAACAAGAAUAAAUAUGGAAUUGGAAUGUUUAAUCCUUACAAAAAUGAAAUCAAAGUGUUUGCAAUGAUUAGGUCUUCUCAAAAGCUCCAAGAAUUAUCCCAAAAAUCACCCAAGAUCGCCCAAACUGCUCCCAAAACCGUUCUCCCUUCAAAUGACGUUCUUCUGCUCUUUUAAUUAAAGUUCACGUGACUUGCCUUUUGCCCAUGUGUUUUUGGCAUGGCCAUGCCUUUUGCCCAUGUGUUUUUGGCAUGGCCCAUGCUUUUUGCUAAAAUUCCAAAAAGUCUUCACUUUGGCUCCAUCUUCAUGUUUUCUGCCAUGGAAUGACCGGUUCAUAUUCUCUUCAUGUUCCAAAGCUCUAUGCUCCAAGCAUCCAAGCAUCCAUGCAUCCAAGCUCCAUGUUCCAUGCUCCAUAAUGCCUGCAAAAUAAAUCAAAAAUAGUGAAAUACCAGGCAUUCUUAAUGAAAUAUGCAAUUACCUUAAUAAUCAACUAAAUGUAAGAAUUAUGAAGUAGAAUGCUAUAAAAAGACGGAAAUAAACAUGCAAAAUAGGUGCAUAAAAUGCACUUAUCAACCCUCUAGGAUACCGAUCUAAUAGAUCAUACUAGCAUAAAAUAACUAGAUAACAAUCCAAAGGGCCAGCCUUGGUGCCUUAGACCAUUAAGUAUAGUGAGGAUAACUCACCUUGCAACUGCCGAAUGGAAAUAGAAAGCUCAACUCUUGGAUCACCGCCACGAACUUCACCACCUAUAUCCAACAACACAAGGUUCAUAAAUUCCCAGAUACCCCAGAAGACAACUAGUCAACACUUGGCCACAGUCAAAGUCAACUACGAGGGUCAACAAUCCAUGUUGACCUGAACUUGUCGAGUGCAAUCGGCCACUCGCCGAGUUCUUUGCUUAACUCGUCCGCACGCCGAGUCACCAAAGUGACUCGUCGAGUUCCUAAGGUUCGCUGUCGAAACUCCUUGGCCACUCGUCGGGUUUUCCCCUAGCAACUCGACAAGUUCACAUGCAUCCAAUAGUUGGGAAAAACCCUAACCGACUCACCGAGUCACUUUACUGACUCGCCGAGUUGUUCAUCCAACUCGUUGAGUUCAGGACCAUCUUCAUAUGACUCGCCGAGUCGACCAUGCGACUCGCUGAGUCCCUUCAAUCCUUCAUUCAUACAGAUGCUUUUUAAGCUAUGUAAAGGCUCCAGAUUGUAUAUCCAACCUCCCAAGGCCUGCUUAUCACGUACAUUUGCAAACUUUACAUGUAUGCAAAGCUUUAAGACCCUAAAAUGACAAAACUAAUCUUGCAAUGAAUUCAACACUUGAGGGAAGGCUCAUACUUGCCAAAACUAUUACCUUUAUGGAUCUAGAGACCAAAGGAAGUCCAGAUCUGAAGUUUCAACUUCAGAUCUUGGCUCAAACACAAAAGCCUUUCUUAAAACCCACCCAAAAAGAGAUUAAAGACGAGAUAAGCCAAAGAGACAACUUAAUACCUUCCAGAGAGUGUCAACUGCUGUAUAUCCUUGCUUCCCACGAGUUCCUAGCUUUAAUUUACUUGUUUGCCCAAGUAUUCCUCACCAAGAUCUCUCUUCAAAUCUCUAUCACACCAAGGAAACACACACACACACACACACACACACCCGAUUAGGGUUUAAGGGUGCCAAGAAGCUGUAAAGGGCGGGUUGGGGAAGGCCAAUGUUCCUUUAAAUAGGGUGCAAAACCCCAAGAUUUAGGGUUUCAUCUGCAAGCUCUUACUCGUCGAGUCCCUUCUUGGAUUCGGUGAGUAGAUCACUAAAACACGCAGACCAACCCGCAGCUACUCAACGAGUAGGGCAGCCAACUCGUCGAUUAGACUUUCAAAUCAAUAAAUUUCUCACAUAAACCAAUACUUGAAAAUCGGGGCGUUACAGUUCUCCCCCACUUAAACUAGACUUCGUCCUCGAAGUCUGCCGUGGCGAACAGCUCCGGAUCGUGCUCCCGCAUCUCUGCCUCUAGCUCUCAUGUCCGUUUGGAUCCCCUCCCAUGCUCCAACUACACCUUCACCAAAGGUAUUUCCUUGUUUCGCAGAACUUUCAUCUUCCUCUCCAGAAUGGCCAUAGGCCUCUCCACAUAAUUCAGGCGCUCAUCGACCUGAAUAUCAUCCAAUGACACCAACUGCCUCCUGAUCCAUAAUACACUUUCGCAAAUUCAAAACGUGGAAAGUGUUGUGAAUUCGGCUAAGCUCCUUCGAUAGCUCUAGCCUAUAUGCUACCUUGCCAACCCUGGCAAGGAUCCCGAAUGGACCAAUGAAAUGGGGACCCAAUUUCCCCCUCUUCCUAAAGCGGAUCACACCCUUCCAGAGUGAGACUUUCAGGAGUACCAUGUCACCCACGUGAAACUCUAACUCCGAUCGGUGCCUGUCGGCGUAACUGUUCUGCCGACUCUGAGCGGUCUGCAAUCGCUGCCUAAUCUGCUGAAUUUUCUCGGUAGUUUGCAGAACUACCUCCGUCCUUCCCAUCACCCUGUGUCCAACCUCACCCCAACAAACCGAGGUGCGACAUCUCCAUCCAUACAACAUCUCGAAAGGUGGGGCGCCAAUGCUGUAAUGAUAGUUGUUGUUGUAGACAAACUCUGCAAGCGGUUGGUGGGAAUCCUAACUCCCACUAAAGUCAAUGACACACGCCCUCAACAUAUCCUCGAGGGUAUGAAUGGUUUGCUCGCUCUGACCAUCGGUCUAAGGAUGAAAUGUUGUACUAAAAUUCAGUCAUGUGCCCAGUUCCUCGUGGAACUUCUUCUAGAAACGGGAGGUAAAUCUAGCAUCCCGGUCAAAAACAAUGGAGACCGGAACCCCAUGGCGAGUGACGACCUCACAAACGUACAUGUCGACCAACUUCUCAGCCGAAGAACUCUCCCAUAUAGCCAAGAAAUGGGCACUCUUGGUCAAUCGAUCUACGAUGACCCAUAUGACAUCAAACCCUUUUGUUGUCCUUGGUAGUUUGGUAAUGAAAUCCAUCGUGAUCUGCUCCCAUUUCCACAUGGGAAUCUCUAGAGGCUGCAACAUACCAUGCAACCUCUGAUGCUCAGCCUUGACCAUCCUGCAGGUCAAACACCUCUUGACAUACCAAGCGAUUUCUCGCUUCAUACAUGGACAUCAAUAACUCAAACUUAGGUCUCGGUACAUCUUGGUGGCCCCCGGGUGAAUAGAGAAGUGAGACUUAUGAGCCUCCUCCAUGACUGUUUGUCUGACCCCACCAGACAUCGGAACCCAUACCCAACCGCAUCCGGUCAAUAAUCCCCGACUAUCCUGCUCAAACUGGGUGUUCUCACCCUUGAUCCUCUCUAACUUCCAAUUCUCCGUUCGUGUGCCCUCAACCUAAGCAUACGACCUCACAAACGUACAUGUCGACCAACUUCUCAGCCGAAGAACUCUCCCAUAUAGCCAAGAAAUGGGCACUCUUGGUCAAUCGAUCUACGAUGAACCAUAUGGCAUCAAACCCUUUUGUUGUCCUUGGUAGUUUGGUAAUGAAAUCCAUCGUGAUCUGCUCCCAUUUCCAGAUGGGAAUCUCUAGAGGCUGCAACAUACCAUGCAACCUCUGAUGCUCAGCCUUGACCAUCCUGCAGGUCAAACACCUCUUGACAUACCAAGCGAUUUCUCGCUUCAUACAUGGACAUCAAUAACUCAAACUCAGGUCUCGGUACAUCUUGGUGGCCCCCGNGACUUAUGAGCCCCCUCCAUGACUGUCUGUCUGCCCCCCCCAGACAUCGGAACCCAUACCCAACCGCAUCCGGUCAAUAAUCCCCGACUAUCCUGCUCAAACUGGGUGUUCUCACCCUUGAUCCUCUCUAACUUCCAAUUCUCCGUUCGUAUGCCCUCAACCUAAGCAUACCUGAUCAAGCUCAUAAGCGGAGAAUCCACCUCUAUCCUCAUACACACUGCUGGGGUGGAAGACCUAGCUGCCUUGUAGCUCAAAGCAUCCGCCACCAUAUUCUCUUUACCGGGAUGGUAAAGGAUCUCACAGUCGUAGUCCUUGACUACAUCCAACCACCUAUGCUGCCUCAUGUUCAGGUUCGGCUGGUCCAUGAUGUGUCUCAAACUCUUGUGAUCUGUGUAUAUGGUACAACGGACCCCAUAUAGGUAAUGUCUACAUAUCUUGAGAGUGAACACCACCAUUCCUAUCUCUAAAUCAAGAGUAGGAUACCUCAACUCAUGCGGCUUCAGCUGCCGCGACGUAUAGGCUAUCAUCCGUCCUCUCUACAUGAGGACUGCCCCCAAACCUGUGAUGGAUGCAUCACAGAACACCAGAAAAUCCUCCACUCCCUCUGGAAGUGUCAAAACUGGGGCCUCGCACAACCACUGACGGAGGGUCUCAAACACCCUCUGCUACUCAGGGCCCCACCGGAAAUCCACCCCCUUCCUCGUCAGACGAGUGAGGGGUACCGCAAUCUCGAAUAAAUCUCCGGUAGUACCCUGCUAAACCAAGAAAACUCCUGAUAUCUGAGGGAGAUCUCGGUACCUCCCACUGCAUGACUGCCUCGAUCUUGGUUGGGUCAACCAAAAUCCCCUCCUAAUUGACGAGAUGUCCUAGGAACUGGACCUAUCGCAACCAAAACUCGCACUUCGAGAACUUAGCAUACAACCGUUCUCAUCUCAAAACUUCCAAUAACUCCCUGAGGUGCUCCUCGUGCUGCUAUCGGGUCUUGGAAUAUACCAAGAUAUCAUCAAUAAAUACGAUGACUGAGCGAUCAAGCAUCAGUCUGCAGACCCGAUUCAUCAGGUCCAUGAAUACUGGCGGCGCGUUGGUGAGCCCAAACGACAUCACCACAAACUCAAAAUGACCAUAACAAGUAUGGAAUGCGGUCUUCUCCACGUCCUCCUCUUUGACCCGGAACUGAUGACACCCUGGCCUCAAAUAAAUCUUGGAGAACCAAGAUGCACCCUGUAACUGAUCGAAGAGGUCAUCUAUCCUCGGGGGUGGAUAACGGUUCUUCACCGUCAACUUGUUCAGCUCCCUAUAGUCAAUGCACAUUCGGUGCGAUCCGUCCUUCUUCCUGAAGAAAAGGAUCAAUGCUCCAUAUGGAGAAUUGCUAGGUCAAUGAACUACUUGCCCAACAGUUCCUGCAGCUGUGACGAAAGCUCCUGCAUCUCUGGCGGUGCCAACCGGUAUGGCGCCUUGGCGAUAGGGGCUGCACCAGGCACCAAGUCGAUCCUAAACUCGACCUGCCUCUCCGUAGGUAUCCCUGGCAACUCCUCCGGAAACACGUCUGCAAAAUCCAUGACUACAGGAACCUCGAAGACUAAAGUCUGAUCCCUGGCUCGCGUAUCCACUACAUAUGCCAGAAAACCUGCACACCCAUGCUGAAUAUAUUGUCGAGCCCUGGCAGCUGAACAGAAAACCCUGAUCCCAUUCUGGUGCCCUCUCCAUAAACAAUCAGUUCUCCCCCACUUGGGGUUCGAACUACCACUCGCUGGCCCUCGCAAUCUAUCAUGGCACCAAAUCGACUAAGCCAGUCCAUCCCCACAAUCACACAUACUUCUCCCAUGGGAAUCAAAAUCAAAUAAUCCGAAAGGAUACGCUAAAGAUUUCCAACUCGCAUCCUCGGUAGACCGAAGAAGUAGAAACCCCGUGUUCAUUGGCGAUAGAGACUCGUAACGGACACUCUAACUCGCCCUCUAGCACACCAAACUCCCUACUAAACGACUGAGAUACAAAAGACCAACUCGCCCCUGAGUCAAAUAGAACCAAAGCGGGCAAUGAAUUCACUAAGAGCGUACCUAGGCACAGUUACAGCAGAUAAGCAUAUCAAAGAUAUAAUAAAUGAGGUAAAGGAUAGAAACAUACCAAAAACCACAUCCGAUGCCUCCCUGGCCUCCUCGGACGUAAGCUAGAAGGCACGACCCUGAGCCUUCAAAGGAUCUGCCUUAACUGGCCUCCCGUCUGCAAUCCUCUAGGUAGCCGGCGCUGGAGCCUAUGCCGGCCUGGCGGCUAGAAGAGGACAUUGGGUCUUCAUAUGGCCCACCUGCUCAUAGUGAUAACAAAGUCUGACUUCGGAAGCUGGAGCCUGCUAUCUAUAAUCCCUGGCCAAAUGGCCCUACUUGCCACACCGGUGGCACCCACUCCCUGAUCGGCACGUCCUUGAAUGAGCCUUUCCGCACUUUCCACAAGUACGGCCUGGCUGUCCCCCAAUCCUGGUAUCGGAGGUCUUGGACCGCUUCGGCGCCGGUGGCGACUAUGUUGGGGCCUGCCGCUGCUCCCUUAACUGCAGCUCGAUCUCCAACUCAUGCCGCCUAGCGGCCUCCUGUAACUCAAAAAGAGUAUCACAUCGUUGGGUAGACACAAACUGACGAAUGUCAUUCUUAAGCAUGCUCAGAUAACGGGUCAUCUGAGCUUGCUCAGAAGCAAACUCUGGGCAGAACAACGCCCUCUCUGUGAACAUGUGGGUGAUCUCCGUCACCGACUCCCCGUCCUAUCUCAAACUCAAAAACUCCUGAGCCAAACAUUCCCUCUUAACCCGUGGAAUGUAACGGGCGCGGAACAUGCCCGUAACUGCUCCUAAGUAACAACAACUCUCUGCUCAUCAGAGUACGACCCUGUUGUCAGCCUCCACCAGUCCUUGGCCCCGAGCAUGAGCAGGUUCAGGGCACACCUGACCUUCUGGUCAGCAGGACAUGAACAGGUAAAGAAACAUCCCUCCACAUUGGAGACCCAUCUCAUAGCCUUGAUGGGGUCCUGAGUCUUAUCAAAAGUAGGGGGCUUCCUGUUGUCGAAGUCCCUGUACUGGAAUCCGCGACCGACUCCAACUCUACCUCCUGCCGCUGUUACAGCUGAUGUAGCUGCAACGGCAGCCGUCUCCGCAAGGGCUGUGUAUCUGUCAUCAAAGUAAUCCAUCAUGGAGGACUUGCAUGAUAGUCCCAAACAACUUCGGAAUCUGACUCCGGACAAUCUCGACCACCUCCUCGCGGAUGAUCUCCCUGACUUGAUCAUCUACCAACACUGGCUCCUCCUGAAUUGAUAACCUCAUGGGCUACUGGGGCCUCCUGAUCACCCUGCCCUGAUCUCGAUCCGGAUCCUGACACAAAAUGCCUCAUAACCACCAUACUUAAAAUACAAUAGGAAGAUAUCAGAUAAUCUGCACAAUAACAGGGGACUAAAUCCCAACCAAACCCUAGGGGUUGUGACUUCCUUGCUAAGCGUAUGGGUCCUGUGCUUUCAGUAGUACAAGCCCAUACUACCUUCCAUACCUACCCAUAUUUGUCUCAAAUAUCACCACAACACCCUAUCCAUAUACAUAAACAUAGGGAACACUCAAUCCUCAUCCCUAGAGGAAUAACUAUCUCAUAAUUGGCCUCCGGACCUCUCGCAACCCACCCAUGAAACUUCCACCAACCAUGUAGCACUAAUGUAUGCUAGCCAGACAUAAUGCUGGACCCUAUAGACUUUUGAAUGUCCAAUCCUACCAUAAGCCCUAAUCAAUAAGAAGAGAACAUAAGGCCAAAUCAAACAUUCUCAGGCUAUAAGAUCUUAAUUACAUACAGUUGUGAUGCAUACACAAACAACUACUGUAAUGAUGUCAAUCUCAUAUAAGGAAAACCCUAGGCUAGCAGGCAUCAUGUAAUCAGACAAUUCUAUCAUGCAAUUCCUGAGGAUCCCUAGCCUGGUACUAGCAUGUUGUUCUAACAUAUCAUAUAAUCAAAUAACUAUAUGGUAUUUUCGGGUUUACUUACUGGCUCUGGCUGAUCAUACACUCUGCAUCCUCCUUUACUUAUUUCAGAAAACCAUUUAGAAUUUUUUUUUUGAAAAUCCUUCCUCGAUUUGAGAUUGGAUUCACACGAGUGUUCCUCCAAUUCACUCAAAUCAAGGCUCUGAUACCAACUUGUAACACCUACAAAAUUCAAGCCAAUUUUAAACUUUUCAAAACAUUUAAAGCUAAUAGUUAUUACAAUUUUUUCUUCGAAAUAGUCUAUAUCAGAGUUUUCCCAGAAAUCAUAACAAAAUAUGAGGAGCUGUACGCUCACGCCUUCGCCAUGUUGUGAUCCCCUGAUGUACCUGAAACAAUAACUAAAACCGUAAGCCCAAAAGCUUAGUGAGCUCCCCCAAAAUACCCACGCACACAUUAAUACACAUAGAAUCAUAAACAACAUACUAUGGGUCUAGUUAACCAUCGGGUCGGAAUACCCUAGGCCCUUAAACAACAGGUUGGAAUGGAAACAUACUAUGGGUCCAAUCAUCCUCGGGAUGGAAUACCCAGACCCACAACCAACAUGUUGGAAUGCCCACAUACUAUGAGUCCAAUCAUCCUCGGGAUGGAAUACUCACGGCCCACAACCAAUAGGUUGGAAUGCCCAGUUCUAUUGGCCUCCGCACAAGGAAGAUAAGCCUCAACCGCCAAACAAACAUGUGCACAUAUAUAUAAUAGAUAAUCACAUAUCAGUCUAUAGACAACAAC